UACGAAGGGGCUAGGCGUUGUUCGGAAUUACUGGGCGUAAAGCGCACGUAGGCGGAUAUUUAAGUCAGGGGUGAAAGUCCCGGGGCUCAACCUCGGAACUGCCUUUGAUACUGGGUAUCUUGAGUAUGGAAGAGGUAAGUGGAAUUGCGAGUGUAGAGGUGAAAUUCGUAGAUAUUCGCAAGAACACCAGUGGCGAAGGCGGCUCACUGGCCCGGUACUGACGCUGAGGUGCGAAAGCGUGGGGAGCAAACAGG
This 254-nucleotide ribosomal RNA is filed under the name uncultured bacterium. Its description in RNAcentral is "partial 16S ribosomal RNA". It matches the Rfam family "Bacterial small subunit ribosomal RNA", at positions 524 to 776 of the family's 1533-position model. The record is from RNAcentral.